GGACCGUCUUCCAGAAUCUCUGGUAUUAUAUUAUCUAGUCUAGCAACCAACUGCUCGAGUAUAUUGCGAGCACCUUCCGUAUCGUUAACAUUGGAUGGAUCACCUUGAGAGGAUUCACCACCAAGAAGUGCCGCAGCAGCAGUGAGAAUAUGAGAUUGUUCGAGCCAAGCAGGCUGCUCAGGCUCAGGGUCAACAGUAAGAUGCCCCUCAAAAAGGAAUCUUCUAGUUGAGUCAUUUUCUGUUGAUGUUGUAUUCUGAGAUUCAUUCUGUACUUCAGCUAACUGCUCUCGUGCCUGAGUAAUGCAACUCUGCAAAUGUUUCUUCUCAGCCGAUCCUGACACCAGGUGCUCAGCCUCAAUAAAUAGCCCAAGCCCAGCAUUCCAAAAUCCAGGCAUUGUGUAUCUUGUCUUUAAAA
This 415-nucleotide unclassified non-coding RNA is filed under the name Hevea brasiliensis (rubber tree). Lineage: Eukaryota; Viridiplantae; Streptophyta; Magnoliopsida; Malpighiales; Euphorbiaceae. The record is from RNAcentral.